This 71-nucleotide transfer RNA is filed under the name Loxodonta africana (African savanna elephant). It matches the Rfam family "tRNA". Rfam says of the family: Transfer RNA (tRNA) molecules are approximately 80 nucleotides in length. The record is from Rfam by way of RNAcentral. Lineage: Eukaryota; Metazoa; Chordata; Mammalia; Proboscidea; Elephantidae.
UUGUUGGUGGCUCAGUGGUAGAACUCUCACCUUCCAUGUGGGAUACCUGGGUUUGAUUCCCGGCCAAUGCA